AUCCCGCAGAGGCGGCAGCCAGCUCGUCAGUGACUUCCGGGACGUCCCCCAUCCCGCGCUCCCUGCUCCUCAGGCCCAGCUUGCUCCUUGCUCCUUUCUCCUCGCUCCUCCGACGCACAUCAGACCACUGGAAGGGGCCAUUCUACAAGGAGUUGUUGAGCACCUGCUGUCUAUCUACAGAAAUCUUGAAAUGUGGAACAGAGAUGGAAAUAUAGCAUGCAAGUCAGAAUGAAUUGCCAAACAAUGACAGAAGGCUGCUCUGAAAUGAUCAAAAUUUUCUCCUGGGACCUCACACCAAAGGAAUAUAAUAGGCAUUCAUUUCUAAGACAAUGCGGGUAAAGUGGAAUUCUAGUUUAUAUUACCUUUCUUAUUCUCUGCAUGCUGCUCUAGACAACUUUGUCAUGAUCCUUGCUUCUGGGGACUUGGUUUGUUUGGGGAAUGACAUCUUAUGAGGCAGUGGGAGCAAUACUUGUCCAGGACCAUUUUACCCAUGCAACCCAGAUGCAUAACCCAGGGGCAGAACUGGGGAUUCUAAUCAAGUCUCAAAGUGGAUAGGUUUGGAGAGGGCCAUCAUUGUAGCACAUAGAGGCUCCAAGAAGCUACAGUUCCUCCACAAGGCAAGCCCAGGUUCUGGCUUCUUUUUACAGGGUUUCAAAAGUGUGUAUUAUUUUAUUGUAUUUCUGG
This 684-nucleotide long non-coding RNA is filed under the name Homo sapiens (human). RNAcentral describes it as "HSALNT0313100". The record is from RNAcentral. Lineage: Eukaryota; Metazoa; Chordata; Mammalia; Primates; Hominidae.